Molecule: ribosomal RNA, 1476 nt
Filed under: Triticum aestivum (bread wheat)
Lineage: Eukaryota; Viridiplantae; Streptophyta; Magnoliopsida; Poales; Poaceae
Description: partial small subunit ribosomal RNA
Source: RNAcentral
AUGGGUUCUCGGGCUCGGUCCGGCCGUGGAGGAGCGGCGGCGCUCUUCGCGGCGGCGGUGAUGGUGGUCUCCUGGUUGGCGGCGGGGGUGGGCGCGAUAGGGGCCAACUGGGGCACGCAGGCGAGCCACCCGCUGCCGCCGGACACGGUGGUCAAGAUGCUCAAGGACAACGGCUUCCAGAAGGUGAAGCUGUUCGACGCCGAGGACGGCACCAUGAGCGCCCUCAGGAAGAGCGGCCUGGAGGUCAUGGUCGGCAUCCCCAACGAGCUGCUCGCCAUCAUGGCCAGCAGCAUGAAGGCAGCCGACAAGUGGGUCGAGAAGAACGUCUCUAACUACCUCAACAAAGGCUGCAACGUCAGGUAUGUUGCGGUUGGUAACGAGCCUUUCCUGUCGACAUACAAUGGAAGCUUUCUGCUAACUACCUUUCCUGCCCUCAAGAACAUACAAAGUGCACUUGUGAAGGCUGGUUUGGGCAAUCAAAUCAAAGUAACUGUUCCUCAAAAUGCUGAUGUCUAUGAUACAGCAACGGGCAAGCCUUCUGACGGGGAUUUUCGCACAGAUAUUCAUGACCGGAUACUCGAAAUUGUAAAAUUUCUGAGCGACACUGGUGGUGUUUUUACUGUCAACAUCUACCCUUUCAUCAGCCUCUACAUUGAUCCAAACUUCCCUGCUGAGUAUGCCUUCUUUGACGGGCGCUCACAGCCCGUUGUUGAUGGCUCUGCAACAUACACAAACAUGUUUGACGCAAACCACGACACGCUGAUCUGGGCUCUGAAGAAGAAUGGAUAUGGGAACCUGCCGAUCGUUAUCGGGGAGAUAGGCUGGCCAACUGACGGUGACAUGAACGCAAAUGCUCAGCUCGCCCAGCGCUUCAACCAAGGCUUCAUGACGCAUAUCGCCACUGGGCAAGGGACCCCGAUGAGGCCUGGACCGAUCGACGCUUACUUAUUCAGUCUGAUCGAUGAGGAUGAUAAGAGCAUACAGCCAGGGAACUUCGAGCGCCACUGGGGGAUCUACACAUACGACGGCAUCCCAAAGUAUCAGCUGAACUUCGGUGUACCGAAUUCACAGAUUAAAAGAGCAAGCGGCGUCAAGUACCUUGACAAGAAAUGGUGUGUGCUGAAGCCCACUGUCAGCCUCGACGACCCAAAGCUUCCAGACACGGUGAGCUACGCGUGCGCCAGGGCGGACUGCACCAGCCUUGGCUAUAGGACUUCCUGCGGGAUGCUGGACACCCGGAGCAACAUCUCGUACGCCUACAACAGUUUCUACCAGAAGAACGACCAAGACGACGUGGCCUGCGGCUUCUCGGGCUACGCGACGACCACCGGCCAGGACCCCAGCACCGGGACAUGCAGGUUCGGGAUCAUGAUCGAGGUCGACUCGGCCUACUCGUGGAAGCCGCGGCGGGUCCGAAGCAACUACCUCCUGGUGCUUCUCCUUGCACUUGUUCACCUCUGCGUGUCAUCCUCAUAG